This 2434-nucleotide long non-coding RNA is filed under the name Oncorhynchus kisutch (coho salmon). RNAcentral describes it as "lncRNA (ENSOKIG00005000221.1)". Lineage: Eukaryota; Metazoa; Chordata; Actinopteri; Salmoniformes; Salmonidae. The record is from RNAcentral.
GGCCAGGGAGAGAAAGAGAGAAGGAAAAAGAGGGAGGCAGCAAUACGUCUAUGGGAGAGAGGGAGAGAGGAGGCUUGGGUCAGCUGAGAGAAACUGUUAGAGCUGUAGAACUGUACCAGAGCUGUUUCAGACGGACAUUGCAGCGUCAUUCACUGAAGCAGUACAGUAUUAGGAAUCAUAAACAGUACACUGGCUAACUUGACCUGGGAUGACACUGAACCCACACACACGCAUGCACACUUAAAGUAGAACGCACAUCUAUAGACUUACACACAGACAGGUAAAGGCCCAGUCCCCUUGGAGGGGUAUCGGCCCUGUCAACAUGGGGAGCUCUCAGUCCCAACAGAAGAAGAGGGGAGGGGCAGCAAACUCAACCAAGAGGAAGACAAGUAACAUUUCAGACUCAGAGGGCCACUUUGAAACCCCAGAGGCUCAGAGCCCUGUCCAUGCUCCACUCCAAGUCCCAGAAGAGCUGGAGACCUUCACCACUGACAGAGCAGAUGCCCUGGAGGAGGAGGAUGAACAGCUGAUAGUGUCUGGCCCAGCCAGAGAUCCAGCUCCUAGCCUCCUAUUUAACCAGAACAUGGGUCAGGCCAAGCCCCCCUUGGUCCCUGAGGAGGAGGCCCCUGUGGACUCUAAGGAGGGGCCACAAACACUGCCCAACACCACAGACACUGCAGAGGUUCAGCCCGCAAUAGCAGGCCCAUCAGCCCAGACCAAUGGAGCAGCAAAGGCCACUGCUUCUCUAGACUUAGGUCUACCUGAGGAGGAUAGACCACUGGCUACUUCACUAGACUUAGGCCUACCCGAGGAGGAUAGACCACUGGCUACUUCUCUAGACUUAGGCUUAACUGAGGAGGAUAGACCACUGGCUACUUCUCUAGACUUAGGCCUAACUAAGGAGGCUAGCAUUACUAAGACGCUUUGUAAUGGACACCCCAUAGAGACCAUCCCUGAACCUCAAGCCAAACCCACUAAAACCACACCCCCUUCCCUGAAGAUAAAGGGAGCUUUUUCCAGGGCUAGUGCACAGAGGGAUGGGGACAGUGAUAUCACCCUAGUCCCUAAGGCUAGCUACAACUUCAACCCGGACCAAUUCGACGGCAGCUUCAAUCCGUUCGCCAGUGGCGGCUCCAAGAUUCAAAACUCCCCGCCAAGCGAUGCCCUGCCCACAAUGGAGUCGCUACCUGUACCUAGCUCCCUGCCCACAAUGGAGUCGCUACCUGUACCUAGCUCCCUGCCCACAAUGGAGUCGCUACCUGUACCUAGCUCCCUGCCCACAAUGGAGUCGCUACCUGUACCUAGCUCCCUGCCCACAAUGGAGUCGCUACCUGUACCUAGCUCCCUGCCCACAAUGGAGUCGCUAACUGUACCUAGCUCCCUGCCCACACUGGGGUCGUUACCUGUACCUAGCUCCCUGCCCACACUGGGGUCGCUACCUGUACUUAGCUCCCUGCCCACACUGGGGUCGCUACCUGUGCCUAGCUCCCUGCCCACACUGGGGUCGUUACCUGUACCUAGCUCCCUGCUCACACUGGGGUCGCUACCUGUACCUAGCUCCCUGCCCACAAUGGAGUCGCUACCUGUACCUAGCUCCCUAACCACACUGGGGUCGCUACCUGUACCUAGCUCCCUGCCCACACUGGGGUCGUUACCUGUACCUAGCUCCCUGCCCACACUGGGGUCACUACCUGUACCUAGCUCCCUGCCCACACUGGGGUCGCUACCUGUACCUAGCUCCCUGCCCACACUGGGGUCGUUACCUGUAUGCAGCUCUUCUCCACCUCUUUGUGGGACUAGUUCCUCACCUAAAAUGGAUGUUGAGGAGGUCAAAGAUUCAGCGUCGGAGGCAUCAGAGGAGCCCAAGCCUGUGGAGAUAGAGUUUGGGUUAGACGAGGCAGGUGAGGUAAAAAAAAACACCGCCCAGGAGGAUGGGUAAAACGCCCGGCAGUAAGCUCGCUGUCAAGAAACCAAGGGCAAAAGCAACGACAACAGCACCUGCCCCGACGCCGGCACCCGAACCAGUAAUAGCUCACCCGGUAGUAGAGCCGGUUUCAGAAACGACUUCCGAACCACUUUCCAUGCCAGGUCCCUCCUUAAGUUUGGACGACGUUCCUAUUCCCAAAUCCACUUAUACAUUUGACCCCAACCAGUGGGAAGACCCUAAUUUGAUCCCCUUUUGGGGUGGUGGUGUCAAAAUAAGUAGUUCCCCGGUUUUGCCCAAAGGAUCCUACAGCUUUGAUCCUCACAACUUUGACAACUAUGUGGACCCCUUUAAGCCAUCUACAGCCCUGGGCUGCGGGAACUCAACCUCCCGGGAUACCCCACUUCCUCCGCCAGCAGAGGAAGCAGUGAAACCAAAGCUGGAGCGGCCCCUGGAUGAGGGGAAGAGAAUGUGUCAGACUCCAAAGAAAAGCAAGGACAGGAUCAUCAC